GCCCCCAUAGCUCAAUGGUAGAGCAGCUGCCUUUUAAGCAGUUGACCUAGGUUCGAUUCCUAGUGGGGGCACCA
Molecule: transfer RNA, 74 nt
Filed under: bacterium
Lineage: Bacteria
Description: tRNA-Lys
Rfam family: tRNA
About the family: Transfer RNA (tRNA) molecules are approximately 80 nucleotides in length. Their secondary structure includes four short double-helical elements and three loops (D, anti-codon, and T loops).
Source: RNAcentral